AGAUUGAACGCUGGCGGCAUGCCUAACACAUGCAAGUCGAACGGGAGUAGCAAUACUCUAGUGGCGGACGGGUGAGGAAUACGUAGGAAUUUGCCCUUAAGUGGGGAUAACCCGGGGAAACCCGGAUUAAUACCGCAUGACCUCGAAAGAGCAAAGUGGGGGAUCGCAAGACCUCACGCUUUUGGAGAAGCCUACGUCGGAUUAGCUAGUUGGUGAGGUAAUGGCUCGACCAAGGCGACGAUCCGUAACUGGUCUGAGAGGAUGAUCAGUCACACCGGAAUGAGACACGUCCGGACUCUACGGGAGGCAGCAGUGGGAAUAGUUGGACAAGUGGGCGCAAGCCUGACUCCAGCAAUGGCCGACGUGGUGUACGAAGAACGGCCGUUUCGGGUAGUAAAGGACGUAACGUUUAAGUUAGG
This 419-nucleotide ribosomal RNA is filed under the name uncultured soil bacterium. Its description in RNAcentral is "bacterial SSU rRNA". It matches the Rfam family "Bacterial small subunit ribosomal RNA", at positions 26 to 450 of the family's 1533-position model. The record is from RNAcentral.